GACGUAGGGCGCGAGCGUUGUCCGGAUUUAUUGGGCGUAAAGAGCUCGUAGGCGGCUUGUCGCGUCGACCGUGAAAACUCGCAGCUCAACUGCGAGCCUGCGGUCGAUACGGGCAGGCUAGAGUUCGGUAGGGGAGACUGGAAUUCCUGGUGUAGCGGUGAAAUGCGCAGAUAUCAGGAGGAACACCAACGGCGAAGGCAGCUCUCUGGGACGUUACUGACGCUGAGACGCGAAAGCGUGGGGAGCAAACAGG
RNAcentral lists this ribosomal RNA (253 nucleotides) under uncultured bacterium. Its description in RNAcentral is "partial 16S ribosomal RNA". It matches the Rfam family "Bacterial small subunit ribosomal RNA", at positions 524 to 776 of the family's 1533-position model. The record is from RNAcentral.